RNAcentral lists this ribosomal RNA (253 nucleotides) under uncultured bacterium. RNAcentral's name for it is "partial 16S ribosomal RNA". It matches the Rfam family "Bacterial small subunit ribosomal RNA", at positions 524 to 776 of the family's 1533-position model. The record is from RNAcentral.
UACAGAGGGGGCUAGCGUUGUUCGGAAUUACUGGGCGUAAAGCGCGCGUAGGCGGCUUUGCAAGUUAGGAGUGAAAUCCCAGAGCUUAACUUUGGAACUGCUUUUAAGACUGCAAAGCUAGAUAUCGGUAGGGGAUAGUGGAAUUCCUAGUGUAGAGGUGAAAUUCGUAGAUAUUAGGAGGAACACCAGAGGCGAAGGCGGCUAUCUGGACCGAUCAUGACGCUAAAGUGCGAAAGCGUGGGGAGCAAACAGG